GUCCGUUCUCUCCCUCCUGGCGGCGUAUUUCCGUGCGCGCGUGUGUUACAUGUGUGUGUGUGGCGGCCGCGCCGGGCUCUCGAGGUGAAAAUACCGCCCUCUCCUUCUACCCAACCCCUCCGUGUAUAAUACGCUGAAGGUAGCCGCUAUCUCGCGCGAGUAACAAGCACGCGAGACAAGAGGGAGGAAGAGGAGGAGUGGACGACGACGAGGAGGAGGAGAAGGUGGAGGAGGACAAGAAGCAGAAGAAGAGGAGGAGGAGGAGGAGGAGGGCGAACAACGGUGCAAGAAAGAGGUGGAAGAAAGCGGAAAAGAAAAUAACGGCGCGGACGGAGCGCGGGCGCGAGCGAGAGGGACAGCGCGAGAGGCGAGCCUGCUAAGCGAGAGAGUGAAAGAGUGUGAGGCGCCCGCUCGUCAUUUAUCCUAAUACAGCAUGACCUCCAACAAUUCGCAGAAACUCCCCACGACGGAUCGAGUGAUCAAAAAUGUCCCGUUUCCACCGUCGCACAAAAUGACAGUGGCAGAAGUCUUCGACGAACGAACAGGAUCCCCGCGGCCGGAGGUCCUCAAGCAACACUUUAUCCUCGAAGGUAGAAUUGACGAGGCUGCGGCUCUUCGUAUAAUUAAUGAUGGAGCCGCCCUUCUACGCUCGGAGAAGACUAUGAUAGAUAUCGAGGCUCCGGUCACCGUAUGCGGCGACAUUCACGGACAGUUCUACGACCUGAUGAAAUUGUUCGAAGUGGGCGGUCCACCUUCCUCGACUAAGUAUCUCUUCCUAGGCGAUUAUGUCGACAGAGGAUAUUUUAGUAUCGAGUGCGUGUUAUACCUGUGGGCGCUGAAAUUGUGCCAUCCAACCACACUUUUCCUUCUCAGAGGUAACCACGAGUGCCGUCAUCUCACGGAAUACUUCACAUUUAAGCAGGAAUGUAAAAUAAAAUACUCCGAGAGGGUGUACGACGCGUGCAUGGAUGCCUUCGACUGUUUGCCGCUCGCCGCCCUCAUGAACCAACAGUUCCUCUGCGUACACGGUGGUUUGUCGCCGGAAAUUCACAAUUUAGAAGACAUUCGCAAACUGGACAGGUUCAAAGAGCCGCCGGCGUUCGGGCCAAUGUGUGAUCUCCUCUGGUCGGAUCCUCUCGAGGAUUUCGGCAACGAGAAGAACGCGGAGCACUUUUCUCACAAUAGUGUCAGGGGUUGUUCAUACUUUUACAGUUACGCGGCGUGUUGCGACUUUCUGCAAAACAACAAUUUGCUCAGCAUCAUAAGGGCGCAUGAGGCUCAAGACGCCGGAUAUCGCAUGUAUCGAAAGUCUCAGACGACGGGCUUCCCGUCGCUCAUCACCAUCUUUAGCGCGCCCAACUAUCUCGACGUGUACAACAACAAGGCAGCGGUUUUAAAGUACGAGAACAACGUGAUGAAUAUCAGGCAGUUCAAUUGCUCGCCACACCCAUACUGGUUGCCCAAUUUCAUGGAUGUUUUCACAUGGUCCCUACCGUUUGUCGGUGAGAAAGUCACAGAAAUGUUGGUGAACGUGCUGAACAUUUGCUCGGACGACGAGCUGAUGAGCGACGGUGAUGACGCGCUCGAGGAAGUCGCCGCCAAAGUCGUUGUCCAAAAAAAGAAUGGUGCAGCAGCCAAUCUACGUAAGGAAGUGAUCAGAAAUAAAAUCAGAGCCAUUGGCAAAAUGGCACGGGUGUUCUCCGUCCUGAGAGAGGAGAGCGAGAGCGUUCUGCAGUUGAAGGGCUUGACGCCGACUGGAGCUUUACCGCUCGGUGCAUUAUCUGGUGGCAAAACCUCUCUGAAAAAUGCACUUCAAGGCUUCUCGCCGAAUCACAAAAUUACCUCGUUCGCUGAGGCCAAGGGUUUGGAUGCCAUAAACGAAAGAAUGCCACCGAGGAAAGAUGCACCGCCUACACCGGCAAACGAGGAGAAAUCCGUGGCAAAGCCGCCGCCUCCUGCGGGAGACAAGCGGGACCACAACAUGCCGCAACCGCAAUCGUGAGCCCCACAUUCGUCCACUCAAGAUGUUUGGCUUUUCGACUCAUUUAAAGGGUCAUUUACUAAUGGCGGAUGGAUGGAUGGGUCCUAAGACCCCGGCUAUCACCGCCACACCGAACAUUUGCAAACCAUUGCUCGUCUCUCCCCCCCCCCCUCCCCUUCCCCCGGCUGUUACAACCAGUGCGCCAUUCAUCGAGGAGUCAGGAGAAAUCAUCGCCGUCGCAAAAGGAAAAUCAGGAACGGACAGACGGUUGCGAAGCGAAAGCGAUUUUUCAUCGAUGCGAUUUUCAACGAGCAUCGUCAUCCCGGUGUGCGCAUAGCAAAAGAAAGCAAGCAGUCAAGGAAAGGAGGCUACACGAACAUCGAGAAAUACCCAGCCGGGUGUUUCGUAGCAGGCCUCCUCUUCUUCGAGGAUUUGCCUCCGUAUCUCUUUUUAGCGUACACUCGCGAAUGGAAAAUGAGAAUGUUAGCCUCCCUUCUGCGAUGAACCGCGCGCGUGCGAUGUUCUCCGUUCUCUCGCCGCUCGUACAAUUAUUCCUUGCUCUUUUUCUUUCUAUCUCUCUAUAUAUAUAUCUCUCUCUCUCUCCUAUAUAUCUUAUCUCCUUACCUUCGCUCCGUCUCUCGCAAUUUCUCGCUCUUCUUCUCUUCCCAGCAUCCACGGACCUGUACACUACACUGUCCGCGUACACUUUCUCGCGAAUUAAUCGACCCAAUGUACAUACGCGCGCGCGCGCGCAUGUACGUAUAUAUCAACGAGCGGAACGGUAGCGAUAUAUCUUAUAGGUAGAUUCGUUUACACGUCGACAUGUUCAUGUAUAAGGAAGAACGACUUCCCCCUGUCUUCAUUAAGUACCAUUUCUCUCGUGUCAUUUCUUUCUCCGAUGUGGGAAAGCGAUGAGAGACGGAACGAACGACUCGCGCGCGGUUACAUCUAUAUUAAUGAGAGGAAUCGCAUAGACAGUGUGAAAGAGAGAGAAUGAGAGGGAGAGAAAGAGAAAGAGAGAACGGACGAGCGGUCUCCGCCAAAGAAACAAAGAAGGCAGCUGGCCUGUCGUCACGGCGGAGCUUCCGGUUUUAGGAUUUUACUAGGUUCUUAAGAUGUGUCCGCCCUAGGUGACGCGCGUAAGGGCAUCCC
Molecule: RNA transcript, 3133 nt
Organism: Atta colombica
Lineage: Eukaryota; Metazoa; Arthropoda; Insecta; Hymenoptera; Formicidae
Gene name: serine/threonine-protein phosphatase 2B catalytic subunit 2-like
Exons: 15
Source: RefSeq, a predicted model, not a curated record